This is an RNA transcript of Gadus macrocephalus (Pacific cod), 4602 nucleotides long. It is a transcript of the gene named lysophosphatidic acid receptor 2a, with no coding region annotated. Lineage: Eukaryota; Metazoa; Chordata; Actinopteri; Gadiformes; Gadidae. The transcript is spliced from 4 exons. The record is from RefSeq and is a predicted model, not a curated record.
UACAUAUCGUCCCAGGCCAGCUGAGUUGAAUGAGGCUGAUUCAGAGGAGAGGCGCAAAAGUCCGAACCAAGUGGAACAUUGUAGCCCAAAUACGCCUACAUUUGAAUACAACAUCUACUUGUCCGGCUUUCACUUUCAGAAUUUGAAUGGAUUAUACUUGUGUAUUGAGGUUGUGUAAAUUAAUUCCAAAAGAAAGGCAUCAACCUGAGGUUAUUUUGAGGAUGGACUAGCCGACUCCGAGUCAUGCAGGUCACCGAAAACAGCGGCGCCUGGAACGCCUGCGACUACAGCCACGACGUGGCCUUCUUCUACAAGCUGGUGGACAAGCGGAUCAGCAAGUCGUGGACGCAGCGCGACCACCUGGUGAUCGGCCUGGGCCUCAGCGUGUGCCUGGUCGUGGUCCUCUCCAACCUCAUGGUUAUGGUGGCAAUAUUCAUCAACCGCCGCUUCCACUUCCCCAUCUACUACCUGCUGGCCAACAUGGCAGCUGCCGACCUGUUUGCGGGUGUGGCCUACGCCAACCUCAUGCUCAACACGGGCCCUUGGACCGCGCUUCUCAGCAAGGAGAAGUGGUUCCUGCGCAGCGCGCUGGUGGACAUUAGCCUCACGGCCUCGGUGGCCAACCUGCUGGCGGUUGCGGUGGAGCGGCACCAGACGGUGGUGGCCAUGCAGCUGCACAGCCGCAUGAGCAAGCGGCGCGUUGUGCUGCUCAUCGUGUGCAUCUGGGCGGCGGCGGGCGCCAUGGGCCUGGUGCCCUCCAUGCUGUGGAACUGCGAGUGCGACCUGGCCAGCUGCUCCACCAUCGCGCCGCUAUACAGCCGCCGCUUCCUGGUGUUCUGGGCGGCGUUCAACCUGCUGGCCUUCGGGGUCAUGGCGGCGGUGUACGGGCGCAUCUUCGUGUACGUUCGGCGCCAGAGCCGCGGCGUCUCGCGCCACACAUCCGACGCGGCGCAGGGCCAGCGCAUGGUGGUGAAUCUGAUGAAGACCAUCGCCAUGGUCCUGGUGGCCUUUGUAAUCUGCUGGACCCCCGGGCUAUUGACCCUAUUGCUGGAAGGGCUGCUGGGAAAGGACAGCCAUGCCCACGCCUAUGAAAAGUACUGCCUAGUUAUCGCUGAGUGCAACUCUCUGGUCAAUCCCAUCAUCUACUCCCUUCGCGACGAGGAGAUGCGAAGCACCUUCAAGUGGAUUCUUUGCGGCCGACGGGACGGCCGCGCCUGCACCGCGAUGGCGGUGGCGCCCCCUGCUGUCCAGUACUGCGCACCGCAGCUAGAGGUAGCCUCGAAUAGUAUGAUAUAAUCCUCCAUACGUUUUGAAUUCGCCACCUGAAAAUAAAUGCUUGCUUUCCUUUAGUCUUAGUUUGCUUGAACAGUUCCGUUAUUAUUUCACCUUUUGAACAGGGGAUCGUUCAGGAAAUUAUCUCUUUUAUUUUCCUCCGAAAUCAUAAAAGCAAGCUAUAAACGUUACUCCUCUCUGCCUUUGUGGGUGAGUCACUGGGCUACUCAUUACGUCCACCGUCGGGUUUCUUAAGGCUCCAGAGACCGGGAACUGUCGUGUUUUGACUUGCCUGGCACCGGUGCAUUCCUCCCCCUCCUCAAUUCCUUCCUUCCCUUAAUCUAGUUCUCUCGGAAUACAAUCCUCCCGAAUUCAAUGAUUGGGCUAUCAAAGCAGACAGAGGGACCAUGGUUAAUGUUCCAUAGAUUCCCUGGAAUUUUUAAAUCAGGCCUCCAGCCCUGAACCAUGCGUGGGAUGAGCAGGACUAUUCUCAACAAGCAACGGGAGAUAAUGAAAUGCUUCCAAUUCCAGGCUUACUCAACAGUAACUAACAGGGCAGCACACGUAGAUGGGAGUCAUGACAAAGCUCUAAUUGCAAGAAAAAAUGGUGCCCCUAGUUUAAACGGUCGUGUCAGUCGAAAAGUUGGACGACCGGGUCUUGGAGCCUUCUAAAGCGGAGGAUCACUGCCAGCUUCUGGAGAAGCCCGAAUUACAGAUCCCACAGUAAACGGACUGACUUUUGAGAGACCAAUUACUUUUAAACCUUGUGGUUAAACUUUUAUAUCGAACCACGCUGGGUUAUGAGUCUUUUGGACAUGACUCGUACUGAUGUACGGCGUCUGCCAUGAAUGUUAUUUUAUGAGUAACUUAUUAAAAAUGCAUAUGAGGGUAAUGGAUAUGUAUCUAAUCUUACUUUAAUUAUUUUUAGCACUGUUUUGUUUAAUGGGUGUCGGGCCAUCAUGCGAUGUCGAAAUACCAAUUCAGACAUAACUUUAUUUCCCAAUUAAUAUUAAACACUCGUGUUGUGCUUAACAGCCAAAGGACAAUUAAAGAGCAAAGUCCUAUUACUCGGCAUUAACAGCCACUCAACCCUACCAAGCAGGUACAAAACUGUUUUUUCAUUGCUGAAAGAGCCCGGAGAUUCAGAGGAAAACCUGACAUGACCACUCCUGAAGGGGGUUCGAUGAUUUAUUCUCCUUUUUAAUAUAAGCCAUUGGUGCUAACCGUUUUGUUUCAUGAUUACCUUUUUGAUUAUGAACGCAUUUGCAAUAAUUCAAUGGAAACACUCAAAAGGACAACGACUGAAAACCACACUAAAUUGUUUUAUUAGUUUUCUAAUAAGAACACUACAAUUUUUAUCAUAUUCCUUUUGUUUCACUCGUUCUAGAACAAUUCUAAAGUUGAGGUAUAAAAGGAGUUCAUACAGACUCGCAGGUCUGAAAACUGGGGAUUAUAUACAAGAGAAAUGGAAAGACAAGAGGUAGAGAGGGCUAAAUACAAGGGGAAGUGAGUAAGCGGGAGAGAUAGAAAAUAUACUAAUUAAAAACAAAGUCCGCCAAAACGGGUUAAAGAACUUCUCUGGUGCUGUGGAAGUAUUGUCGCUAAAGCGGAACCAGAUUUAGUCUCCCAUCCCAGCUUCUGGUUAGGUGUUCGGUCAGAGUCCUUUGGAUUUGCUUGCUGGUUAGCACGGUGGUGGCUAUGCUUAUGAGGCCCAGUCCAUUAGCCUAUUAGCCUAAACUGCUAGGCUCCGAAAGAUCUCGGCCUGAACAUUGUAAAUAAACUAUUGCCUAGUGUGGUCCAAACCGUGACAUGUAUACUAUGUACCUUUCAACGCUCACUAUGGUGUUUUGUCAGAACCACAACAUUGGCAAGUAUACUUAAGGAACUUGUAAACUUUUGCAUUCACUCUAAACUGUAGUAACAAAAGGUUUCUCUAGGAUAAACCAAUUAGUGUCAUCUUCAAUCAAGUUCGACACAACCAACACCUGUAGGAAUCUAGUUUUUCCACAGCACCAGAUUACCUUUAUACCUGUAAAACCCUACAACAGCAUCCAGGUAUGUAACAAAGACUCAAAUUAUGAUACUUAAGAGAAAUACCAGCGUAAUUGUGGCCCCUGCAUCACAAUAAAGGCCAAACCACCACAGGCUUCACCCAAUCAAAACAUCCCAAAGGUUUAUAAAAAAAAAAAUAAAGGAAAAAACAUUCCACAAACUGUACAGUGACAUCCAUUACAACUGGUAGAAAAAAGGGGUAUACGCUAGUUUUGGUGUUGUGGUAACAUUAUUCGUAAGAUAAAGUCAUAUGAAAUGUACAUAGUAACAGUAAACGGGUACUUUUAAAUCAGAUUAUUACUCUCGAGGCUUAGGAGCUCAAGUUUAUUUUCUGUAACUUUGCCACAAGUCUUGUGUAUUUUUACAUUUCGGUAUCCAUAAGGCCUUAUCUUACUAUCAAAAUCCUUUGCGCUUCGCUUAUCUGUUGUACAUAAAGAAAAAGACAAACGUUCACAGGAUGUGAAUUCCAACCUUCCCCCGCAAAAGAAAACAACCUAUAAACAAAAACACUUGCAUUUGUCCGGUGCGUCUUUCACCCCUGACGAGAGUUAUUGUACACCCAGUGCUGCCUGUUUUGGUGACCGAGGAGAGAAAGCCCUUGCCAACCGGCCAAAUCAAAAACCAAAGAUCAGUAAAAAUAAAGAAAAAAAGACAAACAUUGGUACGUUAUUCUUGUAGUCGUAAGACGAACACAAACAGAACAUUCCGAAUCAAAAAGCGGGUGAUCGACUGUACAGGAUACAAUCAAAUUCACGGGUGUGAUACGAUGCCGCAUAGAUGGUAAGACCGAGCCCUACCGUGGAGGCAACAGAGACAGUUUGAAAGAAAAAUAAAUCCCUCCUCUCCUCAAAACAAAAAGGAAAUAAAAAGGUGUCUGCCCACCGACGCGAGCAAGAGUUUCAUCAUAGCAUCGUCUAUUGUGGAGGCUUUUUUUUUUUUUUUUUGGUUUCGGUACGAUAGGAAGUGGUGUGUUGCCUUGGGCCAGUGAACGCACAUGGUUUUUCAAGUGAGUAGGAGUUCCCCCGUUAUGGGCUGCUUACCCAAGUACCCCCGUCGUGUGAAUGGUUUAGAAUUACAGCAAGGCCAAAGCCGGUCUCACUGAGGAGUGUCCAAGGAACGGCACACUCCUUUUUUGGUCUGUCUGAUAACAUUAAACCCUUUCUUUUUUUUCUUUUUUGUUAAUAAAAAGUGAAGCUACAAACUUGAAGAUUAAAUGAAAACGAUAAUAAACACACCUAAAAAAAAAAAAAGAAAAGAAAAAAUCCUACAUGCAUGGAA